This 76-nucleotide transfer RNA is filed under the name Clostridia bacterium. RNAcentral describes it as "tRNA-Met". It matches the Rfam family "tRNA". From Rfam's summary of the family: Transfer RNA (tRNA) molecules are approximately 80 nucleotides in length. Their secondary structure includes four short double-helical elements and three loops (D, anti-codon, and T loops). The record is from RNAcentral. Lineage: Bacteria; Bacillati; Bacillota; Clostridia.
AGCAGCGUGGUGUAACGGCAACAUUCCCGGCUCAUAACCGUGGAGAUUAGCGGUUCAAAUCCGCUCGCUGCAACCA